GAUCUCCUCUAUUCUUUUACCGCCGCCGCCGCCGCCGCCGCCGCCGCCGCCGCUGCCGGGGAUACCAGAGAGAAGGAAGUCGGUCCUUUCUCGUCGGCGCGAUGGCGUGCACACUGGAUUUCAGGUUCCUCGAUGAGGGGAUCGGGGGGCAGAGGAACAAGCGCAAGAGGGCCGCCGCAGAUGCGGCGGAGGCCAUGGAGGUGGACGCCGCCGGCGCCGCCGGCGACGGCGGAGGGGGAGGAGAGCUUCUGCCUCCGUCUAAGAGGGCGGCCGUCCCAUCCGUCGAGAAUCCCGACAAGCCAGCGGCCCUGGGGCGGCCGUCCUACGACGGCGUGAUCGCCGGCAAGGUCUCCGGGCGGAAGUGGAAGCAAGUGCGGCAGCAGCGGUCGUCGGCGAUGCGGGUGACGCGGCGGAGCAAGCCUCUGGAGCAGCGGUCCAAGGAGAAGGAGCUGAAGCGGGCGUUCCAGGAGCGGGUGAAGGAGCUCAAGGAGGAGAUCCGGCAGAGCAAGGUGGAGAAGAGGAGGAAGCGAGAGGAGAGGGAGAAGAAGAAGAAGGAGAACGUGCUCCGCACGGGCACCAAGCUCCAGAAGAUCACCAACCCCAAGACGCUUCAGAAGAUCGCCAAGUCCAAGCAGCGGAAGCACCUCAAGGUCGUCGACGACGCCCUGCUCAACAAGAAC
This 680-nucleotide long non-coding RNA is filed under the name Spirodela polyrhiza (greater duckweed). RNAcentral's name for it is "long non-coding RNA (SPOL_LNC001533)". Lineage: Eukaryota; Viridiplantae; Streptophyta; Magnoliopsida; Alismatales; Araceae. The record is from RNAcentral.